This 494-nucleotide ribosomal RNA is filed under the name uncultured bacterium. RNAcentral describes it as "partial 16S ribosomal RNA". It matches the Rfam family "Bacterial small subunit ribosomal RNA", at positions 28 to 507 of the family's 1533-position model. The record is from RNAcentral.
GACGAACGCUGGCGGCGUGCUUAACACAUGCAAGUCGAACGGAAAGGCCUGCUUUCCCUUGUGGAUUGCGGGUACUCGAGUGGCGAACGGGUGAGUAACACGUGAGUGAUCUGCCCCCAACUUGGGUAUAAGCCUGGGAAACUGGGUCUAAUUCCCGAUAGGACUGCAGGGUGGUGCCUGUGGUGGCAAACGAUCUUCUAGUGGUUGGGGAUGAGCUCGCGGCCUAUCAGCUUGUUGGUGGGGUAAUGGCCUACCAAGGCGGCGACGGGUAGCCGGCCUGAGAGGGUGGACAGCCACAUUGAGACUGAGUUACGGCCCAGACGGCUACGGGAGGCAGCAGUGGGGAAUAUUGCACAGUGAGCGGAAGCCUGAUGCAGCGACGCCGCGUGGGGGAUGACGGCCUUCGAGUUGUAAGCUCCUUUCGACCGCGAGGAAGCCACCUGGUUGGAAGGGUGGUGACGGUAGUGGUAGAAGAAGCACCGGCUAACUACGUG